This is a long non-coding RNA of Triticum dicoccoides, 489 nucleotides long. RefSeq lists it as uncharacterized. The transcript has 2 exons. The record is from RefSeq and is a predicted model, not a curated record. Lineage: Eukaryota; Viridiplantae; Streptophyta; Magnoliopsida; Poales; Poaceae.
GUGUGGAGAGGGGCGACUCUAUUGACGAUGAUGGAGUUCCCGAUGCGACCCAUGAGCAGGGAUUGGAUGAGAGCGCAACCCCGAUGGAACAGGCAGCGUUCGCGGUGGUUCAUUUGGCCAUGAGUGCGGACAAGCAGGUCCGUGAGGAAGACAGAGUAAAAGGUGUGAGACGAGAGGCGUCGCUGCCGGAGUCCGAGAUGUCCACCGGGAAGAUGAACCUACAGGCAUCUGGUUGGGUUAAGGGGUGUGUUUCCCUAAAUCUAUCAAACCAGUAUGCAUUGCUGAAUUUUUGUUGUUGAGGGAUUAGCAGUGAUGUUGUCAUAUGUGCAUUGACAUCCCCUUGGUGUUCAGAACAUUCAGACAAGUAGUUGAUGUUGUUCUUAAGUAGUGUACGGUUAUGAAUGGAUGAUGGUCUAUCCAGCUUGGAGCAUGUUGUUACUAAUUCGAAGGUUGUUGUACAAUUGGUUAUUAGUUAUGACUUAUAGUUCA